This is a non-coding RNA of Dendroctonus ponderosae (mountain pine beetle), 45 nucleotides long. The record is from Rfam. Lineage: Eukaryota; Metazoa; Arthropoda; Insecta; Coleoptera; Curculionidae.
UUUCAGGUUUUUCUCAAAACCAAUAAUUUAUUUAUUAAAAAGAGC